Molecule: ribosomal RNA, 503 nt
Filed under: uncultured bacterium
Lineage: Bacteria
Description: partial 16S ribosomal RNA
Rfam family: Bacterial small subunit ribosomal RNA
Source: RNAcentral
GAUGAACGCUAGCGAUAGGCCUAACACAUGCAAGUCAAGGGGCAGCAUAGAGUAGCAAUACUUUGAUGGCGACCGGCGCACGGGUGAGUAACACGUAUGCAACCUACCUACAUCAGGGGAAUAACCCGGAGAAAUUCGGACUAAUACCGCAUAAUACAGGGAUGCCGCAUGGCAAUAUUUGUUAAAGAUUUAUCGGAUGUAGAUGGGCAUGCGUUCCAUUAGCUAUUUGGUGAGGUAACGGCUCACCAAGGCAACGAUGGAUAGGGGAACUGAGAGGUUUGUCCCCCACACUGGAACUGAGACACGGACCAGACUCCUACGGGAGGCAGCAGUGAGGAAUAUUGGUCAAUGGACGAGAGUCUGAACCAGCCAAAUCGCGUGAAGGAAGACUGCCCUACGGGUUGUAAACUUCUUUUGUACAGGAAUAAAAGACAUUACGUGUAAUGUAUUGCAUGUACUGUACGAAUAAGCAUCGGCUAACUCCGUGCCAGCCGCCGCGGUAA